CCUGGGAAUUGUAGUCGAGGC
This 21-nucleotide microRNA is filed under the name Pteropus alecto (black flying fox). Its description in RNAcentral is "pal-miR-10009-5p". The record is from miRBase by way of RNAcentral. Lineage: Eukaryota; Metazoa; Chordata; Mammalia; Chiroptera; Pteropodidae.